GCUGCCAGCAUGAUCUGG
Molecule: small nuclear RNA, 18 nt
Filed under: Arabidopsis thaliana (thale cress)
Lineage: Eukaryota; Viridiplantae; Streptophyta; Magnoliopsida; Brassicales; Brassicaceae
Description: snRNA_07115
Source: RNAcentral